RNAcentral lists this ribosomal RNA (253 nucleotides) under uncultured bacterium. Its description in RNAcentral is "partial 16S ribosomal RNA". It matches the Rfam family "Bacterial small subunit ribosomal RNA", at positions 524 to 776 of the family's 1533-position model. The record is from RNAcentral.
UACGUACGAGGCGAGCGUUAUCCGGAAUUACUGGGCGUAAAGCGCACGCAGGCGGUUUGUUAAGUCAGAUGUGAAAUCCCCGGGCUCAACCUGGGAACUGCAUUUGAAACUGGCAAGCUUGAGUCUUGUAGAGGGGGGUAGAAUUCCAGGUGUAGCGGUGAAAUGCGUAGAGAUCUGGAGGAAUACCGGUGGCGAAGGCGGCCCCCUGGACAAAGACUGACGCUCAGGUGCGAAAGCGUGGGGAGCAAACAGG